CACAUCACCGCCUUCUUGCACAAGCCGGGCUCCUCCACGUGCUCUUAAGAUGGAAGAGACAAAGGCGAUGUUGAAAAUCUGCUCGGGUAGCACAAGCAACAAGAACCUCCUAUCAUGAGAUACCCACCGGCCACCACACCAUACUCCUCCCCGCCAGGAAGAAACCACCUACUGUGGAUCGGUUGGUUCGGACCAUGGCCUGAAACAGCACAAGGGCACAUUUUAGAAAAAACAAGUAUUUGAGCAAAACAGAAAGAGACUUGAUAAAUGUGUCUCAUCACACUGUAGCAACUAAAUGCUAAAUAAUCUGACCUGCAGUGAGAUACUGUGAACCAGGUUGUUUAGUAAGAUGCUGCAAUGGAACAAUAUGAGUCAAACCCAUUGCAGAUCAUUUAUGCUAAAAAACAACACCUUUGUUGCAAAAAGUGAGAUGCCUUUUAUAUAAAAAAAUAAAUGAUCAUUAUCCUGA
This is a non-coding RNA of Gasterosteus aculeatus aculeatus (three-spined stickleback), 469 nucleotides long. The record is from RefSeq and is a predicted model, not a curated record. Lineage: Eukaryota; Metazoa; Chordata; Actinopteri; Perciformes; Gasterosteidae.